AACGAACGCUGGCGGCAUGCCUAACACAUGCAAGUCGAACGAGACCUUCGGGUCUAGUGGCGCACGGGUGCGUAGCGCGUGGGAACCUGCCUUUAGGUUCGGGAUAACUCAGAGAAAUUUGAGCUAAUACCGGAUGAUGUCUUCGGACCAAAGAUUUAUCGCCUUUAGAUGGGCCCGCGUUGGAUUAGCUAGUUGGUGGGGUAAAGGCCUACCAAGGCGACGAUCCAUAGCUGGUCUGAGAGGAUGAUCAGCCACACUGGGACUGAGACACGGCCCAGACUCCUACGGGAGGCAGCAGUGGGGAAUAUUGGACAAUGGGCGAAAGCCUGAUCCAGCAAUGCCGCGUGAGUGAUGAAGGCCUUAGGGUUGUAAAGCUCUUUUACCCGAGAUGAUAAUGACAGUAGCGGGAGAAUAAGCUCCGGCUAACUCCGUG
This 433-nucleotide ribosomal RNA is filed under the name uncultured bacterium. RNAcentral's name for it is "partial 16S ribosomal RNA". It matches the Rfam family "Bacterial small subunit ribosomal RNA", at positions 29 to 507 of the family's 1533-position model. The record is from RNAcentral.